Molecule: ribosomal RNA, 501 nt
Filed under: uncultured bacterium
Lineage: Bacteria
Description: partial 16S ribosomal RNA
Rfam family: Bacterial small subunit ribosomal RNA
Source: RNAcentral
AUUGAACGCUGGCGGCAGGCUUAACACAUGCAAGUCGAGCGGAGCGAAGGUGCUUGCACCUUAGCUUAGCGGCGGACGGGUGAGUAAUGCUUAGGAAUCUGCCUAUUAGUGGGGGACAACGUUUCGAAAGGAACGCUAAUACCGCAUACGUCCUACGGGAGAAAGCAGGGGAUCUUCGGACCUUGUGCUAAUAGAUGAGCCUAAGUCGGCUUAGCUAGUUGGUGGGGUAAAGGCCUACCAAGGCGACGAUCUGUAGCGGGUCUGAGAGGAUGAUCCGCCACACUGGGACUGAGACACGGCCCAGACUCCUACGGGAGGCAGCAGUGGGGAAUAUUGGAUAAUGGGCGAAAGCCUGAUCCAGCCAUGCCGCGUGUGUGAAGAAGGCCUUUUGGUUGUAAAGCACUUUAAGCGAGGAGGAGGAGCUUCAGGUUAAUACCCUGGAUGCUUGGACGUUACUCGCAGAAUAAGCACCGGCUAACUCUGUGCCAGCCGCCGCGGUAA